Molecule: ribosomal RNA, 497 nt
Filed under: uncultured bacterium
Lineage: Bacteria
Description: partial 16S ribosomal RNA
Rfam family: Bacterial small subunit ribosomal RNA
Source: RNAcentral
GAUGAACGCUGGCGGCGUGCCUAAUACAUGCCAGUCGAGCGAACAGACGAGGAGCUUGCUCCUCUGACGUUAGCGGCGGACGGGUGAGUAACACGUGGAUAACCUACCUAUAAGACUGGGAUAACUUCGGGAAACCGGAGCUAAUACCGGAUAAUAUAUUGAACCGCAUGGUUCAAUAGUGAAAGACGGUUUUGCUGUCACUUAUACAUGGAUCCGCGCCGCAUUAGCUAGUUGGUAAGGUAACGGCUUACCAAGGCAACGAUGCGUAUCCGACCUGAGAGGGUGAUCGGCCACACUGGAACUGAGACACGGUCCAGACUCCUACGGGAGGCAGCAGUAGGGAAUAUUCCGCAAUGGGCGAAAGCCUGACGGAGCAACGCCGCGUGAGUGAUGAAGGUCUUCGGAUCGUAAAACUCUGUUAUUAGGGAAGAACAAAUGUGUAAGUAACUAUGCACGUCUUGACGGUACCUAAUCAGAAAGCCACGGCUAACUACGUG